Molecule: ribosomal RNA, 253 nt
Filed under: uncultured bacterium
Lineage: Bacteria
Description: partial 16S ribosomal RNA
Rfam family: Bacterial small subunit ribosomal RNA
Source: RNAcentral
UACGGGGGGGGCAAGCGUUGUUCGGAAUUACUGGGCGUAAAGGGCUCGUAGGCGGCCAACUAAGUCAGACGUGAAAUCCCUCGGCUUAACCGGGGAACUGCGUCUGAUACUGGAUGGCUUGAGGUUGGGAGAGGGAUGCGGAAUUCCAGGUGUAGCGGUGAAAUGCGUAGAUAUCUGGAGGAACACCGGUGGCGAAGGCGGGUCUCUGGGCCAUUACUGACGCUGAGGAGCGAAAGCGUGGGGAGCGAACAGG